This 70-nucleotide transfer RNA is filed under the name Trichonephila inaurata madagascariensis. It matches the Rfam family "tRNA". Rfam says of the family: Transfer RNA (tRNA) molecules are approximately 80 nucleotides in length. Their secondary structure includes four short double-helical elements and three loops (D, anti-codon, and T loops). Further hydrogen bonds mediate the characteristic L-shaped molecular structure. tRNAs have two regions of fundamental functional importance: the anti-codon, which is responsible for specific mRNA codon recognition, and the 3' end, to which the tRNAs corresponding amino acid is attached (by aminoacyl-tRNA synthetases). tRNAs cope with the degeneracy of the genetic code in two manners: having more than one tRNA (with a specific anti-codon) for a particular amino acid; and 'wobble' base-pairing, i.e. permitting non-standard base-pairing at the 3rd anti-codon position. Lineage: Eukaryota; Metazoa; Arthropoda; Arachnida; Araneae; Nephilidae. The record is from Rfam by way of RNAcentral.
GGUUCCAUGGUGCAAAGGUUAGCACGCUGGACUUUGAAUCCAGAUCCGAGUUCAAAUCUCGGUGAAACCU